Molecule: ribosomal RNA, 406 nt
Filed under: uncultured bacterium
Lineage: Bacteria
Description: partial 16S ribosomal RNA
Rfam family: Bacterial small subunit ribosomal RNA
Source: RNAcentral
AUUGAACGCUGGCGGCAGGCCUAACACAUGCAAGUCGAACGAGUGGCGGACGGGUGAGUAAUGUCUGGGAAACUGCCUGAUGGAGGGGGAUAACUACUGGAAACGGUAGCUAAUACCGCAUACCCUCAGAUGUGCCCAGAUGGGAGUAGCUUGGUGGGGGGGUAAAGGCUCACCAAGGCGACGAUCCCUAGCUGGUCUGAGAGGAUGAACAGCCACACUGGAACUGAGACACGUGCCAGACUCCUACGGGAGGCAGCAGUGGGGAAUAUUGGACAAUGGGCGAAAGCCUGAUCCAGCCAUGCCGCGUGUGUGAAGAAGGUCUUCGGGUUGUAAAGUACUUUCAGCGGGGAGGCGUUACCCGCAGAAGAAGCACCGGCUAACUCCGUGCCAGCAGCCGCGGUAAUAC